GUCUGUGGUCUGUCGGGCAACCUCCUAGCACUUUCAGAUGGCCUAAUAGCUUGCUUUCUUUCACUUCUCUCUUCCCACGUAGCCUUUGUUUUUCCUUUCUCAACCCAGUUAAGGCUGAUCAUAUAGAUUGGGGCUUCUAGGAAGAGAUCUAUGUCAAUUAUUAUAUUUGCCUAGGGUUUCUCCAACAACAGCUUUCCCUUAACUAUUAGGUCCUAGAUCCAAUCCUUGAAAUGUACACAGUUGGUGAUGGAAUGCUUGAAAGUAUAAUGAAGCCUGUAGUAUUUCUUUCCUCUCAACUCUUCUGGUUUAGGCAUCUUUUUUGUGUUGUCGGGCACAAUCACCAUUGCCCGCACUAACUCUUCAUAGAUCUUUGUUGCCUUGGUCAAAUCAAAAGAAUAAGCCUAGUACUUAGGGGGCUUCAUAGGCACGAAUCCUCCAUCAUUUAUCACUACUUUUUUAUCUUUAACUGGCUGGACCAAACCAUUCACCAUCAACAGUUUAAAAAGGGUGGUUAUCUCUACUACACACAUCUUUAUCCCCUCUCCUACAUUGUUGUCAUUUUCUCCAGGUUCUAGACCUUUAAAAUCCAAUUGGUGCGUUGCAGCUUUAAUUUUGUAGAAAUAAGGCACCUUGGAUAAGUGUUUCACUUGGUG
RNAcentral lists this long non-coding RNA (653 nucleotides) under Malus domestica (apple). RNAcentral's name for it is "long non-coding RNA (MDOM_LNC015065)". Lineage: Eukaryota; Viridiplantae; Streptophyta; Magnoliopsida; Rosales; Rosaceae. The record is from RNAcentral.